RNAcentral lists this ribosomal RNA (379 nucleotides) under uncultured eukaryote. RNAcentral describes it as "SSU rRNA". It matches the Rfam family "Eukaryotic small subunit ribosomal RNA", at positions 587 to 972 of the family's 1831-position model. The record is from RNAcentral.
AGCUCCAGUAGCGUAUACUAAUGUUGCUGCAGUUAAAAAGCUCGUAGUUGGAUUUCUGGUUGAUAAUUGUGGUCCGUCGGGUCUAACCCGUAUGAGUAUCGCUUAUUAUCUGCCAUCCUAUCAGGGUUCUAGGGUUUCGGCUCUAGGGUUCUGGUUCUUUUACUUUGAAAAAAUUAGAGUGUUUAAAGCAAGCUUGCGCGAUGAAUACAUUAGCAUGGAAUAAUAAUAUAGGACUACGGGUUCUAUUUUGUUGGUUUCUAGACCUGAAGUAAUGAUUGAUAGGGAUAGUUGGGGGUGCUAGUAUUGGGAGGCCAGAGGUGAAAUUCUUGGAUUCUCUCAAGACUAACUUAUGCGAAAGCAUUCACCAAGGAUGUCUUCU